UGGGGAAUAUUGCACAAUGGGCGCAAGCCUGAUGCAGCGACGCCGCGUGGGGGAUGAAGGCCUUCGGGUUGUAAACUCCUUUCGCUAGGGACGAAGCUUUUUUGUGACGGUACCUAGAUAAGAAGCACCGGCUAACUACGUGCCAGCAGCCGCGGUAAUACGUAGGGUGCGAGCGUUGUCCGGAAUUACUGGGCGUAAAGGGCUCGUAGGUGGUUUGUCGCGUCGUCUGUGAAAUUCUGGGGCUUAACUCCGGGCGUGCAGGCGAUACGGGCAUAACUUGAGUGCUGUAGGGGUAACUGGAAUUCCUGGUGUAGCGGUGAAAUGCGCAGAUAUCAGGAGGAACACCGAUGGCGAAGGCAGGUUACUGGGCAGUUACUGACGCUGAGGAGCGAAAGCAUGGGUAGCGAACA
Molecule: ribosomal RNA, 410 nt
Filed under: uncultured bacterium
Lineage: Bacteria
Description: partial 16S ribosomal RNA
Rfam family: Bacterial small subunit ribosomal RNA
Source: RNAcentral